GUAGGGGGCGAGCGUUGUCCGGAUUUAUUGGGCGUAAAGAGCUCGUAGGCGGCUCAGCAAGUCGGCCGUGAAAGCCUGAGGCUCAACCUCAGGACGCCGGUCGAAACUGCUGUGGCUAGGGUUCGGUAGAGGAGAGUGGAAUUCCCGGUGUAGCGGUGAAAUGCGCAGAUAUCGGGAGGAACACCAGUAGCGAAGGCGGCUCUCUGGGCCGAUACCGACGCUGAGGAGCGAAAGCUAGGGGAGCGAACAGGGAUUAGAUACCCUGGUAGUCCUAGCUGUAAACGUUGGGCACUAGGUGUGGCGGACUCAUUGACGUCUGCCGUGCCGAAGCUAACGCAUUAAGUGCCCCCGCCCUGGGAGUACGGUCGCAAGGCUA
RNAcentral lists this ribosomal RNA (376 nucleotides) under uncultured organism. RNAcentral's name for it is "partial 16S ribosomal RNA". It matches the Rfam family "Bacterial small subunit ribosomal RNA", at positions 527 to 896 of the family's 1533-position model. The record is from RNAcentral.